AACUUUUUGAGUCGGUGCUGAGAUUUCGUCAGACAUCGACCCAUUAGGGUUGAUCGAACUUCUAAGAUAAGUGAAGUU
RNAcentral lists this microRNA precursor (78 nucleotides) under Schistosoma mattheei. RNAcentral's name for it is "mir-3492 microRNA precursor family". It matches the Rfam family "mir-3492 microRNA precursor family". The record is from Rfam by way of RNAcentral. Lineage: Eukaryota; Metazoa; Platyhelminthes; Trematoda; Strigeidida; Schistosomatidae.